Molecule: transfer RNA, 89 nt
Filed under: Streptomyces umbrinus
Lineage: Bacteria; Bacillati; Actinomycetota; Actinomycetes; Kitasatosporales; Streptomycetaceae
Description: tRNA-Gly
Source: RNAcentral
UAUGCCCGAGGCGGUGGCCGUGGCGCUUUCGCGGGUUCCCGGUCCGCGCCGGACCAGUUCGCCGAGGGUUCGGCGCACUCCGGGCUCGU